Nyctereutes procyonoides (raccoon dog) is the source of this 843-nucleotide long non-coding RNA. RefSeq lists it as uncharacterized. NCBI's taxonomy places the organism in Eukaryota, Metazoa, Chordata, Mammalia, Carnivora, Canidae. The transcript has 3 exons. The record is from RefSeq and is a predicted model, not a curated record.
AGCGCGGCCAGCAGGCAGCGCCGCCCGCCCGGGGCCCCAGCCCGGCCCGCGAGGGGUCCCCCGCCCACCCCGCGCCCGGGGCGCACCUGGGGGGGGGUCACAGCAGGGCACGCGAACGUCCAGAAAGCGGGGCUCCUUUGCACUUUCUUGCUGACAUCGCAGCGGCCGGGAGCGUCCGCGAGCGCGCAGCUCCCCGGGCCCCCCCAACCCCCCCAACCCCCAGCCCGGAGCCGGAGACGCGCCCCUGCCCGGUCCCCGCGGGGAGCAGCGGCGCCUGCAAACUGAGGGUGCCCUCCGCGCCCCCCACGGCCCCGGGGCGCGGCCCCCCGCGAGCCCGCGAGCACGUGACGGCCCCGGGAGCCAAAGCAGCCCCUCCGCGGGCCCCGGCGCCCCUCCCCGCGCACCCUCCCCGCGCGCGCCUACCUCUCGGACUUGGUGAACUUGCGGAACGCCUGUCGGAGGUCGUGGAAGGAGCGAUGACGCAGCGCUUGUAACUGGAGCCUAAAGACUUGGUGGGGUGUGUGUGCGCGAGGCGCGGGGUGAGCUGUUCCCUGAACGCGAGUCUGCCUGGGGCCGGUGCAACCUGCAGACCUGCAGACCUCGGCCGCUGCUUGCACUUCUGACCUCCCCUCCGCCCUGGAUGAGGAGAAUGUCGCCAUCUAGUGCCCUUGGAGAAGUUUGCUAAAUGAAAAUCGUAACUCCGAUGAAGUGAGGUUGUGUCCAGAAAUACCCGCACCAGGAUUUCCAUGUUCCUCGUGGGAGAGAAAUAAAGGAAAUAUGCUGAAUUUUGUAUCAGAGUAAAACACCUCUAAGAAUUAAAAAUUCGGUCUUUUGGCCACUGGA